Bradysia coprophila is the source of this 2721-nucleotide unclassified non-coding RNA. Lineage: Eukaryota; Metazoa; Arthropoda; Insecta; Diptera; Sciaridae. The record is from RefSeq and is a predicted model, not a curated record.
CUUUUUCACUAAACAUUGUCAUUCGUAAGUUGGACUCGUAGUGCGAUAAGCAUAUUAUUGAAAUUUCGCUUUUACAUUUCGUUUAAACACCGAUAAGUUACUGUUGUUGAGGAAAAAGAAAACCAGAGCAUUCAAUAAUAUUAUUAUUCCAACUGAUUAAAAAAUGGUAGGAAGUCGCGUUUAUGUUGGAGGUUUACCAUACGGAGUCCGUGAACGAGACUUGGAACGAUUUUUCAAGGGAUAUGGACGAACCAGAGACAUAUUGAUUAAAAAUGGCUACGGCUUUGUGGAAUUUGAAGAUUAUCGCGAUGCGGACGAUGCUGUCUAUGAGUUAAAUGGAAAAGAAUUGCUGGGAGAAAGAGUGGUAGUGGAACCGGCCCGUGGACAAGCCAGAGGUAGUCACAGAGACAGAUACGACAGUGACAGAUAUGGUGGCCGCGGUCGGGGCGGCGGUGGUGGUCGAUACAAUGACAAAGCUGCAUCAAGAUAUGGUCCUCCGUUACGCACAGAAUAUCGUGUUAUUGUUGAAAACCUUUCAAGCCGCGUGAGUUGGCAGUGAAAAAUAACACUAGAAGAUGAAGGGAUGAUGCGUUGAUGAAGACGGUUUUGAAGAUAUCUGAUGAAGAGAGAAAGAGAUCGUAUCGUUGACACUGAUUUGAUGAUGAUGAUGAUGAUGAGAUGACCCCUCCCAAUUCUUCCCGAAUCGAGAGAGUGAUGUUAAACGGAUUAAUUAGGAUAAUAACACUUGUGAAGAGACGGCAAAAAAAUACUAUCUUGUGUGUGACUUGACUGAGAGAGGCCAUUGUGGACGGUUGAUAAUCUGGUUUUCACGAAGUGAGAGAGAGAGAGGCCCGUAGCUCGGUGACGAUUCUCAAAUAGAAAAUAAAAUGAUGAAAACGUUGACGGGAUGAUUUAUGUGAUGGAGUAUUGCGGAACUGAUGGUGGCGCACUCUUGCGUAUACUUUCGAAAAAGCCUCCCAAAAAUAUGGGUUCGCUGAUGAUACUUGUGACUAAGAGACUAUGGUCCCCCCCAAUGGUGACUUGAGAGAAAUGAGACGCUAUAAAUUUGGUGGUGCUUCACACAUUCAAUCAGACGUUAAAUAGGGCUCCCCCUUUCACACAAAAAAACCAAACUAAGUAUACCGUGUGAAACAAAUAUACAAGACAGCGCUCGAAAAUUAACCAGUCAAUAAAAUCUAUUCAAAAAAAAAACCAUUGUCGAGAGGUUGGCUAAAAAAAUGUUUGGGUCAGGAAAAAUCGCAUAUAAACCACACACGUUCAAAAAUGAAUACCAAAAAAAUGAAAAAAAAUGAAUUGGUGGUCGUAAUACCGUUGUUUGACGCUCACUUAUCAAUACCUCACUCGUGUAAUGCUAUUGCAACCGACCAACGAAAGUGCUGUGUACUAUGGCUUUCUUCCAAUAUUUCGUACAAAAAACACUGAUUCAUCUCCAUCCAGUUAAAUAAAAUCAACUUUCUUGUGCGCUUGUGUGGUGGCAGUGACCAAAUCUAAUAAAUAAAACGUUAUGGUACCGUCCUCCACUACUUCAUUGCCGUCCCACAAGGUAAUGGUCGAAAAUAUGUUGCCAGAUGAUAUUUAAUCGCAUUUUAAAUGAAACCAAACCACAGUGUUUUAUGAUCUUAAGGAUUAUAUGCGUCAGGCUGGAGAAGUGACAUAUGCUGACGCCCAUAAACAGCGUCGUAAUGAGGGUGUUGUAGAGUUUGCCUCAGUUUCGGAUAUGAAGAAUGCCAUCGAGAAAUUGGAUGAUACCGAGUUGAAUGGACGUCGUGUACGGUUAGUCGAAGACCGACGUGGAGGAGGACGAGGCAAUGGAGCCGGUGGCAGUGGACGUGGUGGUCGUUCACGUUCAUCCAGCAGUCGAUCUAAGUCACGCAGCCGAUCACGUUCGCGCAGACGUAGCCGAUCCAGGUCAUCACGCAGCCGAUCGAAGUCACGUAGCCGUUCCAAAUCUCGAGGAAAUCGCAGCAAAUCUAAAUCACCCGUAAAGAAUUCACGUUCAAGAUCACGAUCAAAUCGUCGCGAUCGCUCCAAAUCAUUGAAACGCGAUUCUCGCUCCCAUUCUCGUUCGUUGAAACGUGAUUCUAAAUCUCGAUCACGUUCAAAAUCGAAGGGUGGUCGAUCUCGAUCAAACGAUCGUUCAGUAUCAAAAUCGAAGGAUCGUGAAUCGAGAUCAAUUUCACCAAAAAAUAACGGCGGAUCGCCCGGCGGCAGGCAUGAAAGUAUGGAAGAUUAGACAGAAAAAAAAACGAAAAGAAAUUUUGUUGUGGAAUUAGUCGUUAACACUUAGCAAAGAAAAUGAUUUGUACGAUUUUCUUUGGAUGAUAUUUGUCGUCUAUUGUCUAUUUUUCUAAAAAUAAACACAAAAAUUAUUCAAAAAAUUGUGAAUGGGACGAGAUAGAGAAAAAGAGGAUAAAUUGUACCCGCUCUUGUCUUUUCUCUUCUUUUUUUUCUUUAUGGGAAUUCAGAAACAAUUUUGAAAAAGUAAAUUUGGUUAAACAAAACAAAAAAAUAAAACAUUUCAAUUUAGCAUAGUCUGAACGAACCAGCAAAGUUUGGUUCUUUUUUUUUUUGACUACGCGUUACAUUUCUAUUAUAUUUUGUAAUGGCACUAGUAUAGAAUACAUGAAAUCGAAAGAAAGAAAACUAUUGACUGCAUCAUUGAUACACAACAGCAAAAACCUAACAUUUAUAAAUGGAUGG